UGUUCGAGCGCCAUUACAAACUCCAAGCUCUGCUUGAUGUUGGAUGCUGUCUUUGCGGAAGUGAAGACACAUCUGGAACGUGUGGGCGCCGCCGCCAGACCACGAGCGUAGCAAGACGAAAGUCAAUCGUUCGAUUUGGAUCUGUCUGUGGUAGUCUGUAUGUCUGUCGGAGUCUGGUCUUUGGAAUUCUGAAGAACAGACAACGUGACAACACCAAAAGUUUGGCCUCGGAUCAGGCGGGGAUACCCGCUGAACUUAAGCAUAUCAAUAAGCGGAGGAAAAGAAACCAACCGGGAUUGCCCCAGUAACGGCGAGUGAAGCGGCAACAGCUCAAAUUUGAAAUCUGGGGUCUUGCGGCCUCCGAGUUGUAGUUUGCAGAGGGAGCCUCGGAGGGCUUGUCGGUCCAAGUGCCUUGGAACAGGAUACCGCAGAGGGUGAGAGUCCCGUAUCCGGCCGACGUAGCGCUCCGUGUGAGGCCUCUUCGACGAGUCGAGUUGUUUGGGAAUGCAGCUCCAAGCGGGUGGUAAAUUCCAUCUAAAGCUAAAUACUGGCCAGAGACCGAUAGCGAACAAGUAGAGUGAUCGAAAGAUGAAAAGCACUUUGAAAAGAGAGUCAAACAGUACGUGAAAUUGUUGAAAGGGAAGCGCAUGGGGGCAGACUUGGCCGUGGGGUUCAGGGUGUCUAUUUUGGCGCCUGUAUUUCCCCGCGGACAGGCCAGCAUCGGUUCCGGGGGCCGGACAAAGGCGACGGGAACGUGGCUCUCCUCGGAGAGUGUUAUAGCCCGACGUGCAAUGCGGCCACCUGGGAACCGAGGACCGCGCCUUGUGCAAGGAUGCUGGCGUAAUGGCCUCAUGCGGCCCGUCUGAACACACGGACCC
Molecule: ribosomal RNA, 878 nt
Filed under: Scolecobasidium macrozamiae
Lineage: Eukaryota; Fungi; Ascomycota; Dothideomycetes; Venturiales; Sympoventuriaceae
Description: Ochroconis macrozamiae partial 28S ribosormal RNA
Rfam family: Eukaryotic large subunit ribosomal RNA (bases 223-878)
Source: RNAcentral